This 253-nucleotide ribosomal RNA is filed under the name uncultured bacterium. RNAcentral describes it as "partial 16S ribosomal RNA". It matches the Rfam family "Bacterial small subunit ribosomal RNA", at positions 524 to 776 of the family's 1533-position model. The record is from RNAcentral.
UACAGAGGGUGCAAACGUUGCUCGGAAUUAUUGGGCGUAAAGCGCGUGUAGGCGGCUUGUUAAGUUGGUCGUGAAAGCCCACAGCUCAACUGUGGAAGUGCAACCAAAACUGGCAAGCUUGAGUUCUGAAGAGGAUGGCGGAAUUCCCAGUGUAGAGGUGAAAUUCGUAGAUAUUGGGAGGAACAUCGGUGGCGAAGGCGGCCAUCUGGGAAGCGACUGACGCUGAGACGCGAAAGCGUGGGUAGCAAACAGG